UACAGAGGUCCCAAGCGUUGUUCGGAUUCACUGGGCGUAAAGGGUGCGUAGGUGGUUCGGUAAGUCGGAUGUGAAAUCUCCAGGCUCAACCUGGAGGGGUCAUUCGAUACUGCCGUGACUAGAGGUCGGUAGGGGAGUGUGGAAUUCCUGGUGGAGCGGUGAAAUGCGCAGAUAUCAGGAGGAACACCCGUAGCGAAGGCGGCACUCUGGGCCGAUACUGACACUGAGGAGCGAAAGCGUGGGGAGCGAACAGG
RNAcentral lists this ribosomal RNA (254 nucleotides) under uncultured bacterium. RNAcentral's name for it is "partial 16S ribosomal RNA". It matches the Rfam family "Bacterial small subunit ribosomal RNA", at positions 524 to 776 of the family's 1533-position model. The record is from RNAcentral.